CAGCAGCCGCGGUAAUACGUAGGGCGCGAGCGUUACCCGGAUUUACUGGGCGUAAAGGGCGUGUAGGCGGCCUGGGGCGUCCCAUGUGAAAGGCCACGGCUCAACCGUGGAGGAGCGUGGGAUACGCUCAGGCUAGAGGGUGGGAGAGGGUGGUGGAAUUCCCGGAGUAGCGGUGAAAUGCGCAGAUACCGGGAGGAACGCCGAUGGCGAAGGCAGCCACCUGGUCCACUUCUGACGCUGAGGCGCGAAAGCGUGGGGAGCAAACCGGAUUAGAGACCCCAGUAGUCCCUGUCUCUUAUAC
RNAcentral lists this ribosomal RNA (301 nucleotides) under uncultured bacterium. RNAcentral's name for it is "partial 16S ribosomal RNA". It matches the Rfam family "Bacterial small subunit ribosomal RNA", at positions 509 to 807 of the family's 1533-position model. The record is from RNAcentral.